Molecule: ribosomal RNA, 294 nt
Filed under: uncultured microorganism
Description: partial 16S ribosomal RNA
Rfam family: Bacterial small subunit ribosomal RNA
Source: RNAcentral
GUGCCAGCAGCCGCGGUAAUACGUAGGGUGCGAGCGUUGUCCGGAAUUAUUGGGCGUAAAGAGCUCGUAGGCGGUGUGUCGCGUCGGCCGUGAAAACCUGUGGCUUAACUAUGGGCUUGCGGUCGAUACGGGCAUCACUGGAGUUCGGCAGGGGAGACUGGAAUUCCUGGUGUAGCGGUGAAAUGCGCAGAUAUCAGGAGGAACACCGGUGGCGAAGGCGGGUCUCUGGGCCGAUACUGACGCUGAGGAGCGAAAGCGUGGGGGAGCGAACAGGAUUAGAUACCCUGGUAGUCC